UGUCAUGGGAAUAAGUCCGUUAGCAUCACAACCGUGAGCUAACAGAGGCUAACUAUAAGAGCAGAGUUGGAGUGGACCUCUUGUUGAAGAACUUCUCCAGGCACUAUGAACCAUCUGACUAAUGCUGUCAUGAAACGCCAUGAAAAGGCAACUGCUGGACACCUGGGACAGGCCAUCAAUUCCAAGUUGGCGUCAAUUCCCUGUUAGAAUUUAGAGUUGUCUAAUAGAGAGGGUGAA
Long non-coding RNA from Cyprinus carpio (common carp), 237 nucleotides. RefSeq lists it as uncharacterized. Lineage: Eukaryota; Metazoa; Chordata; Actinopteri; Cypriniformes; Cyprinidae. The record is from RefSeq and is a predicted model, not a curated record. The transcript is spliced from 3 exons.